GAUGAACGCUAGCUACAGGCUUAACACAUGCAAGUCGAGGGGAAACGGCAUUAAGUGCUUGCACUUUUUGGACGUCGACCGGCGCACGGGUGAGUAACGCGUAUCCAACCUUCCCAUGACUAAGGGAUAACCUGCCGAAAGGCAGACUAAUACCUUAUGGUCUUCACUGACGGCAUCAGAUGUGAAGUAAAGAUUUAUCGGUUAUGGAUGGGGAUGCGUCUGAUUAGCUUGUUGGCGGGGUAACGGCCCACCAAGGCAACGAUCAGUAGGGGUUCUGAGAGGAAGGUCCCCCACAUUGGAACUGAGACACGGUCCAAACUCCCACGGGAGGCAGCAGUGAGGAAUAUUGGUCAAUGGGCGAGAGCCUGAACCAGCCAAGUAGCGUGCAGGAUGACGGCCCUAUGGGUUGUAAACUGCUUUUGUAUGGGGAUAAAGUCAAUCACGUGUGAUUGUUUGCAGGUACCAUACGAAUAAGGACCGGCUAAUUCCGUG
RNAcentral lists this ribosomal RNA (492 nucleotides) under uncultured bacterium. Its description in RNAcentral is "partial 16S ribosomal RNA". It matches the Rfam family "Bacterial small subunit ribosomal RNA", at positions 28 to 507 of the family's 1533-position model. The record is from RNAcentral.